GACGAACGCUGGCGGCGUGCUUAACACAUGCAAGUCGAACGGAAAGGCCCUGCUUUUGUGGGGUGCUCGAGUGGCGAACGGGUGAGUAACACGUGAGUAACCUGCCCUUGACUUUGGGAUAACUUCAGGAAACUGGGGCUAAUACCGGAUAGGAGCUCCUGCUGCAUGGUGGGGGUUGGAAAGUUUCGGCGGUUGGGGAUGGACUCGCGGCUUAUCAGCUUGUUGGUGGGGUAGUGGCUUACCAAGGCUUUGACGGGUAGCCGGCCUGAGAGGGUGACCGGCCACAAUGGGAGUGAGAUGCGGCCCGGGCGCAGGCCGGAGGCAGCAGUGAGGGAUAGUGGACGAUGGGCUGAGGCCUGAUGCCGGAACGCCGCGGGGGGGAGGAAGGCCUUCAGGUUGUAGACCACUUUCGACUGCGACGAGGCGUGAAUGAAGGUGAUGUGUAAAGAAGGACCGGCUAACUCCGUA
Molecule: ribosomal RNA, 468 nt
Filed under: uncultured bacterium
Lineage: Bacteria
Description: partial 16S ribosomal RNA
Rfam family: Bacterial small subunit ribosomal RNA
Source: RNAcentral